Molecule: ribosomal RNA, 327 nt
Filed under: uncultured eukaryote
Lineage: Eukaryota
Description: partial 18S ribosomal RNA
Rfam family: Eukaryotic small subunit ribosomal RNA
Source: RNAcentral
CCCUUAGAUGUUCUGGGCCGCACACGCGCUACACUGAAGGAGGCAGCGUGUACUCCUGGAUCGAAAGAUUUGGGUAACCCGCGAAUCUCCUUCGUGCUAGGGAUUGAGGUUUGCAAUUAUCCUACAUGAACGAGGAAUUCCCAGUAAGUGCAAGUCAUAAGCUUGCGCUGACUACGUCCCUGCCCUUUGUACACACCGCCCGUCGCUACUACCGAUUGAAUGAUUUAGUGAGGACUUCGGACUGGGACCGAUGCGGCUUUCGGGCUGCGUCGGUAUUCUGGAAAGAUGUCCAAACUGUAUCAUUUAGAGGAAGUAAAAGUCGUAACA